AGCAAACAGGGAAGUUUUGUCUAUAUAGCGGUGUUUGUACAAACGUGAUCAUUUUAUUGUUCUUUGCUCUAAUAUCAUUUUAUAAAAAUUAAUAAGAAAUAAAACAACUGCUGAAACUAAAAUGAUAGGAAGCAUAUGUCUCAAACUUAAUACUAUAAAGACCAUAUUAGAAAUCUGAAGCAUGACAAAAAUGUAACUCUCUGGCCUCAACUGACUAGUCAUGGAUCCUACUACAUUCUUUCUGCAUAUUGAACCAACCUUCUGGGGAGACAGUGGACCUACCAGACACCUACCGGACUGCAACAAUUGUUUCACGUGAUCUUUCAGACGAGAGCAAAUGUCUUCCUAAAUAGAAAAAAAGUUCAGGAAGUCAUUUUCAUAAAGAGUUUUAAUAAAGAGUAAACUAAAAAUUAUGAUACAUAAUUAGAUUUGAUGUCAAACACAAGAUCAUCACAUGGGAGCAUCACCUCUUUUACAAGAGAAUGGAGACCCCCAACCCAAUAAGGAAAAGCCACCAGGAUCCACUCUUCUCCAGUCAUCCAAGAAGGGCUACUGUCCAAGUCCAACUAACUUCAAUGUUACCCUAUGUUUGGCCAAAACUAACUUUAAAAUAAAAUAAAAUAAAAAUUUAUGAAGC
This 637-nucleotide long non-coding RNA is filed under the name Homo sapiens (human). Its description in RNAcentral is "HSALNT0220039". The record is from RNAcentral. Lineage: Eukaryota; Metazoa; Chordata; Mammalia; Primates; Hominidae.